RNAcentral lists this long non-coding RNA (1563 nucleotides) under Dasypus novemcinctus (nine-banded armadillo). Its description in RNAcentral is "lncRNA (ENSDNOG00000050691.1)". Lineage: Eukaryota; Metazoa; Chordata; Mammalia; Cingulata; Dasypodidae. The record is from RNAcentral.
ACCAGCGGGCGCGGACCAGGACGGGUUUAGGUAAGGAGGCCCCACCUCCCCACGCCCCGCAAGCCCCCGCCUGACGGCGGGUCCCCCGCACGCCCCGAAUCCUCGGGGACUGGGGUCGCGCGGAGGUGAAUUCCAAGUCCUGGGAGAGGAUGGGUCCCUUGGCUGAGCUGAGGACGUGAGUCAGAGCUCGUGGAGCCGCCGGGACCUGCGUUUCAGAGGAGCCGGUCUGGAAGCAGAGACGCCAGCGGAGAGGCUGAUGGCACAGUCCAGAGCCCCACCAGGACCACCGUGCGUGUGGAUGGCAGCCUCUGGAGUUGUGCAGUGUGCGGCCCUGCGCCUGGCCCGGGCUGCGUCUGAUUCGGUAUAAUCAACGUUGUGGAUUCCUCCCAGCCGGGCAUUUGUUUCUCCGUGGAAGCUGAGUUCCAGCCACUACACUGCCUCAGAAGCCAGGGUCACCUGACUGCCAGGAGGUACCAGGUACUGAAUCCAGGACCUUGUACGUGGGAAGCAGGCGCUCGACCACCUGAGCUACAUCCACUCCCUCUGUACACUUCUAAGUGCCUUUCUGUGUGCGUGUGCAUGCGUGUGGUUGAUAUGAAGGUUUCCUGCCAGGUGCAACGUUCUGGCUUUCUCUCUCUAAACAAUACCGCGUCUUGGAGAACGUUCAUGUCAGGACACAUUGGAGCUGAUCCUUGAUCUGCUGUGAGGCGUUCCAGAGCGUGGCUAUGUUACAGGGUGUUUUGUUAUCGCCCCUUAGCCUCACCCCCUCCUAGCCAUCCACCUUUGGUUGUUUUGCCAGGUCGAGGGCUACAGAUAAUGCUGUGGGGUGUGUCUCCUUGUGCCUGGGAGAGAGAGUGAUUCUCCAGUGGCGUGACUGAGGUCACCUGCUAUGCAUUUUUAAGUUAGAAAGUCCCACACUGUGCCCCACCCAGAGUGGCCCUAUCAGUGUGCCUGCUCCCCAACAGACGGGCUUUCUACUGCGUCCUCGGGCUCCCGGGUGUGUCCUGGAGUCAGCUGGCCCGGUCACCUCCCUCCUGCAGCUGGAGCUUCACCUCCCCUGGGCUGUUUUGUUGUGGGGACAAAAAUGAGAUAAAGGAUGGAGUGUGUGGGGCCCUCCUGUCAUCCUGAAGAGUAACAGGCAUCGUUGCUGGCUUGGGAGAAGGUGGGCUCGGCCGACAGGAUCUGCUGCCUUUNNNNNNNNNNNNNNNNNNNNNNNNNNNNNNNNNNNNNNNNNNNNNNNNNNGGGAGAGAGCCAAGCCGUUCGCCUGUAUACAGCUGGCCUUGUGGAUAGAGCAGAGCAGCUGAGCCUGGAAAGAGACGAGCCCCGGGAAGAGAGACGAGCCUGAUGCCAGCCUACAGCUGAGCUCAGAAGAAGCUGGGACCAUGGAGCCUUGCGGGGAAGAGGAGGGCUGGACCCUCGCAGAGACGGGCAGCCAUGUUGCUCCAACACGUGGCAACAGACCUUGGUGAGGGAAGUAAGUUACUCUUUACUACCUUGUGACUGUAAGUUUCUACCCCAAAUAAAAAACUUCAUAAAAGCAUAAGUUUUCUGGUGCUUUGCAU